GAUGAACGCUGGCGGCGUGCUUAACACAUGCAAGUCGAGCGGACAGACGCGGCGCUUGCUUGGCGGAUGUUAGCCGCGCAGGGGAGUGAAACGCGUGGAACACCUCCCUAUCAGACUGGGAUAACUAGGAGAAACCGGAGCUAACACGGGAUAAUAUUUUGAUCCGCGGGGUUGAAAGGUGAAAUACGGUGUUGCGGUCACUAAUAGAUGGAUCCGCGCUGCAUUAGCUGGUUGGUAGGGUAACGGCUUACGAAGGCAACGAUGCGUGGCCGACGUGUCAGGGGGAUCGCCCACCCUGGAGCGUGGACACGCUCCAUACUCCUACGGGAGGCAGCAGUAUGGAAUCUUCCGCAAUGGUCGAAAGCCUGACGGAGCAGCGCGGCGCGUGUGAUGAAGGCCUUCGGUGCGUAAUGCCCUGUUAUUAGUGAUGAACCGAUUUGUAAGUAGCCGUGCAGAUCGUGACGGUACCUAAUCAGAAAGCCCCGGCUAACUACGUG
RNAcentral lists this ribosomal RNA (497 nucleotides) under uncultured bacterium. RNAcentral describes it as "partial 16S ribosomal RNA". It matches the Rfam family "Bacterial small subunit ribosomal RNA", at positions 28 to 507 of the family's 1533-position model. The record is from RNAcentral.